Pundamilia nyererei is the source of this 607-nucleotide long non-coding RNA. RefSeq lists it as uncharacterized. Lineage: Eukaryota; Metazoa; Chordata; Actinopteri; Cichliformes; Cichlidae. The transcript is spliced from 3 exons. The record is from RefSeq and is a predicted model, not a curated record.
UCCUAAUACUCGUCUUUCUGCGGAGGACAGUAGGUGAGACGAGUGCCAAAGAAUACAGAUGAGAGAAGGUGAGAUUAGAGGUCGGAAACAGACGCUGCCCACCAAGACUGUUAAUCGCAUUUUUCACACUGCUGCAGGGCCACGGGGAGCAUACAACAUCGACAUUGAAAAAACUAAAAGAAAACCCUGAGUCAGGAUCAGAACAAGCCAGGAGGACUACACUCCCCACGUGCCCUGCGAACGCCUCGGAUCCCCGAGGAAGAGCUGCGGGAGAAGAAUGUCAGUUUUGCUUAAUCUGCUGCAAAAUGACCCAGAUAUGCAGUGGAAAAUGGAUGGAUGGGGAAUGCACCAGUUACAGGGACAAAAUGGAGGAUGUGCCUGAACAGGACUGGGAGCCUGAGCUUGCUCUAGUUAGGCCUGCAGCUAUGCAUUAUUGAGUGUGGUCCUCUGCAGGGGGUACAACACACACAUCCUUACACACGGAGUCUAAGAGUUGGGAGUGAAGUCUUGCCAGCCAGCGAUGCAUCUUGUCUGAUGAACUGCUGCUUCUUCAUAAAUUAGGCUGACAUCAGUGGAAGGAGUAAAGGGAGAAUAAAUGAAGUAGAAA